GAUGAACGCUGGCGGCGUGCCUAAUACAUGCAAGUCGAGCGAACGGACGAGAAGCUUGCUUCUCUGAUGUUAGCGGCGGACGGGUGAGUAACACGUGGAUAACCUACCUAUAAGACUGGGAUAACUUCGGGAAACCGUAGCUAAUACCGGUUAAUAUUUUGAACCGCAUGGUUCAAAAGUGAGAGACGGUCUUGCUGUCACUUAUAGAUGGAUCCGCGCUGCAUUAGCUAGUUGGUAAGGUAACGGCUUACCAAGGCAACGAUGCAUAGCCGACCUGAGAGGGUGAUCGGCCAAACUGGAACUGAGACACGGUCCAGACUCCUACGGGCGGCAGCAGUAGGGAAUCUUCCGCAAUGGGCGAAAGCCUGACGGAGCAACGCCGCGUGAGUGAUGAAGGUCUUCGGAUCGUAAAACUCUGUUAUUAGGGAAGAACAUAUGUGUAAGUAACUGUGCACAUCUUGACGGUACCUAAUCAGAACGCCACGGCUAACUACGUG
RNAcentral lists this ribosomal RNA (497 nucleotides) under uncultured bacterium. RNAcentral's name for it is "partial 16S ribosomal RNA". It matches the Rfam family "Bacterial small subunit ribosomal RNA", at positions 28 to 507 of the family's 1533-position model. The record is from RNAcentral.